AUGAACGCUGGCGGCGUGCCUAAUACAUGCCAGUCGAGCGAACAGACGAGGAGCUUGCUCCUCUGACGUUAGCGGCGGACGGGUGAGUAACACGUGGAUAACCUACCUAUAAGACUGGGAUAACUUCGGGAAACCGGAGCUAAUACCGGAUAAUAUAUUGAACCGCAUGGUUCAAUAGUGAAAGACGGUUUUGCUGUCACUUAUAGAUGGAUCCGCGCCGCAUUAGCUAGUUGGUAAGGUAACGGCUUACCAAGGCAACGAUGCGUAGCCGACCUGAGAGGGUGAUCGGCCACACUGGAACUGAGACACGGUCCAGACUCCUACGGGAGGCAGCAGUAGGGAAUCUUCCGCAAUGGGCGAAAGCCUGACGGAGCAACGCCGUGUGAGUGAUGAAGGUCUUCGGAUCGUAAAACUCUGUUAUUAGGGAAGAACAAAUGUGUAAGUAACUAUGCACGUCUUGACGGUACCUAAUCAGAGAGCCACGGCUAACUACGUG
RNAcentral lists this ribosomal RNA (496 nucleotides) under uncultured bacterium. RNAcentral's name for it is "partial 16S ribosomal RNA". It matches the Rfam family "Bacterial small subunit ribosomal RNA", at positions 29 to 507 of the family's 1533-position model. The record is from RNAcentral.